GCUAGUGUAGCUCAGGGGUAGAGCGCUUCCUUGGUAAGGAAGAGGUCGUGAGUUCAAAUCUCACCACCAGCU
RNAcentral lists this transfer RNA (72 nucleotides) under Candidatus Equibacterium intestinale. Its description in RNAcentral is "tRNA-Thr". It matches the Rfam family "tRNA". Rfam says of the family: Transfer RNA (tRNA) molecules are approximately 80 nucleotides in length. Their secondary structure includes four short double-helical elements and three loops (D, anti-codon, and T loops). Lineage: Bacteria; Pseudomonadati; Bacteroidota; Bacteroidia; Bacteroidales. The record is from RNAcentral.